This 406-nucleotide non-coding RNA is filed under the name Drosophila ananassae. RNAcentral describes it as "Eukaryotic large subunit ribosomal RNA". It matches the Rfam family "Eukaryotic large subunit ribosomal RNA", at positions 1 to 390 of the family's 3401-position model. The record is from Rfam by way of RNAcentral. Lineage: Eukaryota; Metazoa; Arthropoda; Insecta; Diptera; Drosophilidae.
CAACCUCAACUCAUAUGGGACUACCCCCUGAAUUUAAGCAUAUUAAUUAGGGGAGGAAAAGAAACUAACAAGGAUUUUCUUAGUAGCGGCGAGCGAAAAGAAAUCAGUUCAGCACUAAGUCACUUUGUCUAUAUGGCAAAUGUGAGAUGCAGUGUAUGGAGCGUCAAUAUUCUAGUAUGAGAAAUUAACGAUUUAAGUCCUUCUUAAAUGAGGCCAUUUACCCAUAGAGGGUGCCAGGCCCGUAUAACGUUAAUGAUUACUAGAUGAUGUUUCCAAAGAGUCGUGUUGCUUGAUAGUGCAGCACUAAGUGGGUGGUAAACUCCAUCUAAAACUAAAUAUAACCAUGAGACCGAUAGUAAACAAGUACCGUGAGGGAAAGUUGAAAAGAACUCUGAAUAGAGAGUUA